This is a ribosomal RNA of Macadamia integrifolia, 119 nucleotides long. NCBI's taxonomy places the organism in Eukaryota, Viridiplantae, Streptophyta, Magnoliopsida, Proteales, Proteaceae. The record is from RefSeq and is a predicted model, not a curated record.
GGGUGCGAUCAUACCAGCACUAAUGCACCGGAUCCCAUCAGAACUCUGGAGUUAAGCGUGAUUGGGCGAGAGUUGUACUAGGUUGGGUGACCCACCGGCAAGUCCUUGUGUUGCACCCC